UGAUCCAGAUGCAGAACUCUCAUCUCCUUCUCUGGCACCAUGUCUGACUAUGCACCACCAUAAUGGACUAAACCUCUAAACAUGUAAGCCAAACCCCAGUCUGGCCAGUGGAAUCAGAGCCUCCUCCUGGCUGCCUACAGAAGAGUUUCCUCCUGACUGCCUUUGGAUCAAGAUGUAGAACUCUCAGAUCCUCCAGCCCCACAUCUGCCUGGACACUGCCAUGCUUCCCACCUUGAUGAUAAUGGACUAAACCUCUGAAACUGGAGAAACUCGCCAAAGAACUUCUCAUGGUAUUCCAGCUGAUUCUUGCUGCUUCUGCUGACCCAUGCCAAGCCUCAUGGUUUCUGCUAGAUUGAGCCACUGCUACUGAUUUAUGUUUGGUGUUUACUAUUGAACUGGACUGCUACUAUCCUGACAAUGAAGAGGAGAAGCACACCAGAGAACUACUUGUAAACAGGUCUAUAACCCCUUGUCCUAAUAACCGCCUUUCUUCCUUACCUUUAGUCAGUGGGCUAGAAGGGAGGUUGAAGCAUUUAAAAGCCCUAAAUAAAGCAAGGUUUGG
Apodemus sylvaticus (European woodmouse) is the source of this 562-nucleotide long non-coding RNA. RefSeq lists it as uncharacterized. NCBI's taxonomy places the organism in Eukaryota, Metazoa, Chordata, Mammalia, Rodentia, Muridae. The record is from RefSeq and is a predicted model, not a curated record. The transcript has 3 exons.